This 75-nucleotide ribosomal RNA is filed under the name Curtobacterium sp. VKM Ac-1395. The record is from RNAcentral. Lineage: Bacteria; Bacillati; Actinomycetota; Actinomycetes; Micrococcales; Microbacteriaceae.
AACCCGGAAGCUAAGCCUCUCAGCGCCGAUGGUACUGCAAGGGGGACCUUGUGGGAGAGUAGGACGCCGCCGGAC